UGUCACGUGCGUAGAGGAAGAAGCAAUGAAAAAAAUAUUUAAAAUCUUUCUGCAGCCGACAGCCGCUACAAACUAUGCCGUCGUUGCUAAAAACUAGCCCGCAUGAUGCGGUGUUAGCAGGUAGCAUCUGAUGUGUCUCACAGAUAUCACAUUUAUGUUGAACUAGAUGCGAAAUGACAGAGUCAGCGGUGUUAGUAAACAGCCGCCAUCUUAAAGCAGUACACUUCUCAGCGCUAAUAAGAUUAACGUUACUGUCACUCGCUCACGUACGUAACGUUAGCCCGGCGGAGGGCUAGGUUUCAAUUAAGACCACUGUCGAUGCGUGGCUAACGUGUCUUACAUACAGGCUUUAUUUAAUCUGUGAAACAUAGCGCUGUAGAGUGGUGAGGGUGUAAAAUGAAAAUAUGAUAAAGCUAACUGUCAAUUUUAGCUCAGUCGUCAUUGCUGGAUAAAACACCAAGUAGCACUGGUCCCUAAUGUGCUUCGAUACAGCAGGUAUCAUACUGUAACGUUGACAAAGAGUCACCCGAUUUGUUAGGUUGCAAUUAUUUCUUUUUUGGGAACUUGUGGAACGACAACAACAACAGGAAGGCACGUCUCUCGCUCUCCCGCACCUCCCUCACACCCGCACAUCACGCGGUGCAUUCAGGAACGCAUGCAAAUAUCCCCGCCAUAUUAUAACCUGAUAUGUUACAAUACAUUUAUCUUGAACACUGCAAAAACUCAAAAUCCUAUCAGGACUUACAGUUUAGACUAAUUUAAAACUUAACUAGAACUUAAAAAUGGCUUGACACAAAUGGAAAUUCAAUUGAAACACGUGGGAAAAACACCUAACUUUUAAAUGAUGUGUGUUAUCAAGCGUAAUGGCAUUUUUAGGUCAGAAAUAUAUAUAUAUAUUUUUUAUAAGAUCUAAAAGUUUUGGGAGUGAAAGCAGUGAAUUGGUCUUUUUUUUUAAUUCUAUUGACAUCUGAGAGGCAAUUGUUGGCGGUUUUCAACAACGUACAUCGAAAAUAAAGACAUUGAUUGACUGAAAAUGGUUCAAUAUUAGAUGAAAUGUCUUGUUUUCUCAUGUAUAUUUAUAAUUUUUCUUUACCUAAAAAAUGUUUCAUCCGAUUACUCGAUUAAUUGAGAGGAUUUUCAGUCGAUUACUCGAUUACUAAAAUAUUCGAUAGCUGCAGCCCUAAUUUUAACACAGCUAUAUUUCGCUUUUGUGACAGCCCAAACAUCUGAAUAAUGUUUUCGUUCUACAAAAUAACAAACAGCAAGACAAAUAGAGCUUUUGAUUGCAAAGUAACAAUUUUAUUUACACAUAACUAAACUAUUGAACUGUUGAACUAUUUGCGCACAUAACAAUGGGGAAGGCUCUCAGCUGCUCCCGGUUGAAUGAGAGGGCUCCCAGUAAUCUGAUGAGUCCGGAUCAAGAUCGGUCUCACUUUUUUCAUCAUCUUCAUCGUUGGUUUCAACCUCAGGCUUAGGAGUAACGCAACGUGAGCUCCGCAGAACGCGUGUGGAACCUGACGCUGUUGUGGCCAUCUCACAGGCGGGGUAAACUUCUCUCUCAUCACCGUCUGUCUUAUCAAGAUAGAUUUUUUAAAAAUCCUUUUUUGACGAUGGUUUCGUUUUCUUUUCAAAACACUCCUCCAGUGUCGUUUGCCUUUUUUUCCCAAUCGUUCUCCACAUUUUUCUCGCGUCUUCAAGAUCCCUCCAACUUCCGUUUCCUGAUUAUUUUUCUUCACUUCCUUUCUGGGCCCGAGAUGAGCUCUCACAAAAUGCGCUACUGCCCUCCAGUGGCCAGUUUUAUUGCUUUAAAAUGGGUUUUGAGCUUUGUGCAUUGCAGUUUAGGUGCGUCACAACCUAGAGAUGCCUCUUGUAAAAAAAAAACAAAAAAAACACACAAAAAAAACAACGUAAUAGACGUUUUUGGGACACUGAAACAAUUAAAAAUAGAACAUAUUUAUACGUUUUUGGGAGCAAAUUAGUUAAUGAGCAAAGUCACUGUACGCGUCAGAAGUUGUCUCCACAAGAACAGAGAUAUCAUAGGAGGGAGCCGAGAAUAUGUUCUUCUCCACGGCAAAUUCAGUUUUGAAUGACCAAAAACACAUUAAGUCCCUAAAACCAACAGUCUAUCUCGCGCUGGCCAUGUUGAAUAAACUUCUCAGUUCUCUGCUCUCCUUGUAUGUUUACGUACUUGCGCUAGAGUUUCUUUUUGCUUUACCAACAUCACUUCCGCCCAUCGCUGAUUGGUCCACUCCGCUGUCUGUUUGCUGUGGCUUGCUCCGCCCUGGGAAUUUGAUCUGCGGAACAAUCGCCAGACUCAAUAGCUGGAACAGCGGUGAAUCUGGAGUUCCAGGCUACCCUUGCGGGGCUAGAUUCGCUGCGGGACUAUCACGUUAGAUGGGACUCACGCAUGACUAGGUGAAAUUAAACACACUCAAGUAGGAAACCUCGGUUUCAGGAUUAGCUAUGACACAGCAUAGAAUAGGAUGCCAACAUACUCACACUCGCAAGGGAUUCACACAAAUACUGGGUUCUAGACCACAUGGCUGGUUUAGGUACACUUCAACCUUCCCAAUCACUUAUCUCUCAGACACCACCACCCGCUUUCCUUGGUUAUCAGGCCCCCCACAUGGUGUCAACCAGAAAUACAACUAGCUAACUAUAGCGCCUACAUAUACAUAGUUUGAGUAGGCGUUUAAUGUAUUUCUUGUUGUUGUUUGUGCUUUUUCUGUCUCUCUCUCCCUCUUUUCUUUUGUUCCCUCAUAACCCCUUCCUGUUCGCCGCUUUCUCCUAAUAAACUAGGUACGUUGAAUGAUCACAAUGGAAGUAACUCGUACUCCCACACGAGGGCCGAGAACGAAAAUCGGUAUUUGCCAUGUGGCAAAAUCGACUUUGCCAUGUGGCAUUUUUUUUGUCAUGUGGCAAAACAAUUUUGACACAUGGCAAAAAAAUGCCACAUGGCAAAACCAAUUUUGCCACAUGGCAAAAAAAUUCCACAUGGCAAAGAAAAAAAUGCCACAAACCAAAAUCCAUUUGGUCAUAUAAUAAAAAAUGCCACAUGUCAAAAUACAAUUUGCUGAAUGGCAAAAAAAAAUGCCACAUGGCAAAAACAAUUUUGCCACAUGGCAAAAAAAUUCCACAUAGCAAAGCAAAAAUGCCAGAUGGCAAAAUCAAUUUUGCCACAUAGCAAAAAAAUGCCACAUGGCAAAAACAAUUUUGCCACAUCGCAAAAAAAAUCCACAUGGCAAAGAAAACAUGCCGGAUGGCAAAAACAAUUUGUGGCAAAGAAAAAAUGCCACCUACAAAAAAAAAAAAAAAAUUGCCAUACAACAAUUAAAAAAAAGGCCACAUGGCAAAAAACAUGCCACAUGGCUAAACCAAUUUUGCCACAUGGCAUAAAAAUUCCACAUGGCAAAACCAAUUUUGCCACAUGGCAAAAAAAAAAAAUUCCACAUGGCAAAGAAAAAAUUGCCACAUACAACAAAAAAUAUGCCACAAACCAAAAUCCGUUUUGCCAUAUAACAAUAAAAAAAAUGCCACCUGUCAAAAGACAAUUUGCCACAUGGAAAAGAAAUGUCACAUGUCAAAAUACAUUUUGCCUCAUGGCAAAAAAAAUUCCAGAUGGCAAAAUUAAUUUUGCCACUUGGCUAAAAAAAUGCCACAUGGUAAAACCAAUUUUGCCACAUGGCAAAAAAAAUCCACAUGGCAAAGACAAAAAUGCUACAUACAAAAUUUUUUUUUUAAAAUAUGCCACAAACCAAAAUCUAUUUUGCCAUAUAACAAUAAAAAAAUGACACAUGGCAAAAAAAAAAAUAAAACGCCACAUGACAAAAACAAUUUUGCCACAUGGCAUAAAAAUUACACAUGGCAAAACCAAUUUUGCCACAUGGCGAAAAAAUUACACAUGGCAAAACCAAUUUUGCCACAUUAGCAAAAAAAUGACACAUGCCAAAGAAAAAAAUGACACAUACCAAAAAAAAAUAUGCCACAAACCAAAAACAAUUUGCCAUAUAACAAUAAAAAAUGCCACCUGUCAAAAUACAAUUUGCCACAUGGCAAAAAAAAUGCUACAUGGCAAAAUGAUUUUGCCACAUGACAAAUACCACUUUUGGUUCCCGCUGUCUCUCUACUCCCAUGUAAUACAUUAAAACUGUCCAGAUCAAUUGAACACUCAGAUCUCCAUUCUCUGUGUCCAGCAGCUGACCAGAACAGGUUAAAAUAAAUAAUAAUAAUAAUAAUUAAAAAAAGAGUGACUUUGUCAGGAGUAACCAAGAAUCCAAGCAAUGACCCUGCACUCCCAGAACGACUCGCAACCGCCCCAAGCUUUUAUUACUCAUCACUUGGAUGAUGGUGGCUUCUGAUGAUGGAUAACUCAAAUUUGCUAUCUCCGAAUAGUAGCAGAAGAUGGAGUAAGGAGGAUGAUGAUGGGAGUUGUCUGAUGAAGAUGCUAAAGCAGCUUCUCUCUCUCUUUCUCUCCGUCUGCCUGCGCGCUGACAAACUGGAGCCAUAAAAGGCAUCUUCCCAGAUUGGUGCGUCUUCCUCCUCCGGCGAGCCGCUUUUACGCACAAAUCUCCACGCAGGCGCGCUCUCUAAUUCUCUCUCCGGUCCGGAUGGACGAGGACGUUCUUUGGCAGCUCAGCGCAAACUUGAGCGAGGAGCCCGGCGGAGGACGCCUGCCCGCCACCUCCGAGGAGUGGACGGUGGACGCGGCGGUGCGCGGCGUCAUGAUCGUUUCGUACUCGCUGAUCGUGUUGGUGGGCGUGCUGGGCAACGGCGCGCUGGUGAAGAUCUUGGUGAGCUCCGGCGCCGUGCGGAGCGUCCCCAACAUUUUGAUCAGCAGCCUGGCAGCGGGCGACCUCCUGCUGCUGGUCACCUGCGUGCCGCUGGACGCCUUUCGCUUCUUUUCCGAAGACUGGCUGCUAGGGGAGACGGUGUGCAAGCUUCUGCCCGCCGUGCAGCUCACCUCCGUCGGCGUCUCCGUCUUCACGCUCACCGCCCUCAGCGCCGACAGGUACAAGGCCAUCGUGAAGCCGAUGGACAUCCAGGCAUCCGGCGCGCUGGCGCGGACGUGCGUGAAGGCCGCCGCCAUCUGGCUGCUGUCCAUCACGCUGGCCGUCCCCGAGGCCGUCUUCUCCCAGGUGGUCUCCAUGCAGGGUCAGAGAGGCGUGGAGAACGUGACUUUCCUCAACUGCGUGCCGUACCCUCUGUCCGACCAGACGCACCCCAAGGUCCACGCCGUCCUGCUCUUCCUGGUCUACUUCCUAUUCCCGCUGGCCGUCAUUUCGGUCUACUACUACCACAUCGCGCGCACCCUCAUGCGCAGUGCGCGCGACAUGCCGGGCGAGCUCAGCGAGCACACCAAGAAACAGAUGGAGACGAGGAAACGUCUGGCCAAGAUCGUGCUGGUGUUCGUGGCCGUCUUCGCCACCUGCUGGCUCCCCAACCACAUGGUCUACUUGUACCGCUCCUUCAGUUACCAGCAGACGGACUUGUCGCUAGCGCACCUGUUGCUGACGCUGCUAGCUCGAGUCCUCAGCUUCUCGUCGUCCUGCGUCAACCCGUUGGCGCUCUACCUGCUCAGCGACAGCUUCCGACGCCACUUCAACAGCCAGAUGCGAUGCGGCGGCGGCGGCGUGAGUCACGAGCGUCGGGCGAGCUACCUGCACAGCACCUCGCACAUACGUUUGACCUCCAUCAAAAAGGCCGCACCAACAAGCGGCAGCGGCAACCGCCAGGAAGUUUGACCCAACUGACGGGACACGUCGACGCUGAGGACCAUGAGGUCACGUGACUCUUUUAAAUUUGUGCAGUUGAGCAAAUUUUACUUUACCGACUGAUGAAUUUGAAAAUAAGCAUUGAUUUCGUGACCAUUUCUCCUGUCAGCCAUGCAUAAACUUCAUAAUGUUUUGACGGGUCUGAUUGGUCACGCACUGCGCCUCGCAUUCAAGUAGGGGGCCGCCCACAUCCAGAGGAGCUAUUCACAAACACGCACGCAGCGAUCUGAUGCCAGAUUUCUGUUGGAAAAGUACGAAAGCUGUACCGCAUACAAACAGGAAGGAUUGUCUCAGGAGUGAUUUAUUUGAGGAUUCAAGGCAAUUAUUAUAUUUUUCGUACCUUGCAUGCAUUUUGAAACGUUGUGAAAAAAAAUCAAUGGGAGAAAUUAGCUGCAACUGGAUUGGCAUCAUCGUUCAGAAUAUUUAUGUUAAAAAAAUGCUAACUGCACAGGGUUUUUUUGCUUUCAACCAAGACUCGAGACUGUUUUACAUCCGUAUCUAUAAAGAAUUCGGGGAUUUAAGCAUUUAUUCACAAGAAUUUUCACUGGAAAAGCUCUGUUUACAUCAGGCGUCCGCUAGCUACAUUCACUAACAGACUAGCAUUGUACUUCGACAUAGUUACGUAAAAUGAAUGCUAACUGCACUUUUUUUUUGUUUUUUGUUUUUUUUUUGCUUUUAACCAAGAAUGGAGACUGUUUUACGUCCAUAUCUAUAAAGAAUUCAGGGAUUUAAGCAUUAAUUUACAAGAAUUUUCACUGGAAAAGCUGUUUACAUCAGGCAGCCGCUAGCUCCAUUCACUAACAGGCUAGCAUUGUACUUCGACAUAUUUACGUAAAAUAAAUGCUAACUGCACAUUUUUUUGCUUUUGACCAAGACUCGAGACUGUUCUACGUCCACAUCUAUAAAGAAUUCGGGGAUUUAAGCGUUUAUUCACAAGAAUUUACACAAGAAAAGCUGUUUACUUCGGGUGGCCGCUAGCUACAUUCACGAACAGACCAGCAUUGUACUUCGACAUACUGACGUAAAAUAAAUGCUAACUGCACGCUUUUUUUUUGUUGCUUUCAACCAAGAAUCGAGUCUGUUUUACAUCCAUAUAAAAGUUCUUUUUACAUCAGGCGGCCGCUAGCUACAUUCACGAACAGACUAGGAUUGUACUUUGACAUAUUUACGUAAAAGAAAUGGUAACCACACGGCUUUUUUGCUUUUAACCAAGAAUCGAGACUGUUGUCCGUCCAUAUAUAUAAAGAAUACGGGGAUUUAGGCAUUUAUUCACAAGAAUUUUCACCGCUAAUAGUUCUGUUUACAUCAGGCGGCCGCUAGCUAAAUUCACUAACAGACGAACAAUGUACUUCGACAUAUUUGCAGUAUGUUAAAUGAAUGUUAACUGCACAUUUUUUAUGCUUUCAACCAAGAAUUGAGACUAUUUUACGUCCAUAUCUAUAAAGAAUUCGGGGAUUUAAGCAUUUAUUCACAAGAAUUUUCACCGGAAUAGCUCUGUUUACAUCAGGCGGCCGCAAGCUACAUUCACUAACAGACUAGCAUUGUACUUUGACAUAUUUACGUAAAAUAAAUGCUAACUGCACGGUUUUUUUUUUUUUUUUUUUUUUUUACUUUCAACCAAGAAUCCAGACUGUUUUACAUCCAUAUCUAUAAGGAAUUCAGGGAUUUAAGCAUUUAUUCACAAGAAUUUUCAACGAAAAAAGCUCUUUGUCUGUGAUUCCACUCUGUCAGCUUUGACGGCCUCCUCAUCAACAAUGCAGGCCCCAUAUUUAUCGGCCCCGUGUCCCAUCAAUACGUUAUGAAGUCUAUGAGCCAUCUUUGUUUAGUGAUGUCAUCGUGACGUUUCAACUGUAAUAAAAGCGCACAAACUGUUUGCGUGUGUUUGCUAUACUGUACUACUAAAUUAGCUUGCCCAGCAAGGGAUGAGGAAGUGGCAUCCAACUGGGGCGUUUCCUUGUGGACACGAACGCACCCGUCAGUGCAUUAGCAAGCAAGGAUCCACUUCUCACAUACACUUUUUCAUCAGCUCAGAAAAGGAACAGCAAUCGCCACCGACCGAUUGCUUGUUUUGCGCUCCGAUUUGAAGCUUAAUGGUGCCUCGGUCUUGGUGUCUCACCCUAAUUGACGACAGAAGCCGCGGGCCGCGUCGGAUGUGACUCACGCGUGCUCAAGUGGAACGCAGAGCAAUCGGCGUUGGCCCGACGUCCCCGUGCUGCCGUCGGCGUGGCCUUCAUCGGCGGGAUUAUCGUCACUACGGUUGUUGCAGGAGGCCGUGGCCUGCCGUUGACCUGAAAAUGAGUCCCGAUAGGUCGGUCGUCACCUCGCGAGUCACCCGUUGCCGUAUGAACCGGAAGUUUCUCCAAUGGCGUUUGGAGCUCAUCCAUAAUUGCAAGUUUAGGUGCGUGCGUGUGUUGCAACCCUUGAUCAGAGUGUUUCAAGUCUCUGGAGGCUUUUAUCAUGAAGAGAGCAGCUCGCACCCCCUCCACACAUACACGUAUGUACAUUGAACAAGUGCUCGUGACUGUGAAAAUCAAUUCGUUUUCAAUUAACAGGACGCUUUGGAGUCAUUUAGCUUAGCGCUAGAAGCUAACAGGCAUAAAAGGAAGCGGAUAUUUGUGUCACCCAAUUAUAGACUAAAUACAGGGCUGGCCAAAAGUAUUGGCACCCCUGCAAUUCUGUCAGAUGAUGCUCAAUUUCUCCCAGGAAAAUUACAAAUGCUAUGGUAGUCAUAUCUUUAUUUAUUUUGCUUGCAAUUAAAAAACACAAAAGCGAAUGGAAGAAAAAAAUAAAUCAAUUGAAUCGAUGAGGGCAGCUGCAGCGAUCAUGCUAACGGGAAGGACCGAGUGCAGCAGGAAGAAGGCAGAAGCUAGCCAGGUUCACGGACAGCCAACCAAGCUGGGGCAGGAGGCUGCUACCGUGGCAGCAGCUGGUCAGUGGGGUCCGGCUACAGCGGCAGCAUUCAGCCAAGUGGACCACCGACAGCCGGAGCACCUUAUGGGAAAUUCAGGGGGAUGGGACUACGCCGCCGAGCGGUCGCGGCAAAAUCGUCGAGAUAAAUGAAGUGCCCUGACGUCUUUUCUGACCUUCGGCCUGCAACCGCUGGGAAUGUGGGAGGGGCCGGUCAACUUAUUUGGAGGGUUCAGCUGUUGUCCUCGUCUUCAUCUCGGUCACUCUCCCUACCGCUCGCUUCGACUGUGCUCACUGGCACUAAAACAUAUAGCAAGGAUGGAGACGUCGACCCGAUGGCUGGACGAGACGACGGCCGACGACCCGAUGGACGAGUUUAGCAGGAGGCUGAGCGACAUCGUCGGCGGUGACGCUCUGGCGGAGGUAGACGCGCAAGACGACUUCGCCGCCGGCAUCCAGUCAG
Molecule: RNA transcript, 9141 nt
Organism: Corythoichthys intestinalis (scribbled pipefish)
Lineage: Eukaryota; Metazoa; Chordata; Actinopteri; Syngnathiformes; Syngnathidae
Gene name: beta-taxilin-like
Exons: 9
Source: RefSeq, a predicted model, not a curated record